RNAcentral lists this long non-coding RNA (406 nucleotides) under Gossypium barbadense (sea-island cotton). Its description in RNAcentral is "long non-coding RNA (GBAR_LNC005752)". The record is from RNAcentral. Lineage: Eukaryota; Viridiplantae; Streptophyta; Magnoliopsida; Malvales; Malvaceae.
CAACGUGUAACUGUAAUGCAUUUCUUUUGAUGAGUCUGAAGCUCUAACAUAAGAUCCAUAGGAUGGGAAUAUUCAAACUUGAGCUUAUUUAGAAAUUAAAGGAAAAAAAAAAAACAUGUACAAAGAUUGUACCAGGUAACAACAUAUAUCUGGAUAUAUAUGGAUUUUGAAUAAGGAUUGGUAAAUAUAACACCAUCCUUCCCUGCAUCCUACCUCAAAUAGGUAAAUAUUUUUGUCUUAUUUUUUACAGUUAUAUGUAAAUAACGAGGUUUUAAUAGUGUUUCCUUUCCUUCAAAAGUGGUUCCAUGCAAAGAGAUAUUGGUUAACAAUACAAAUGCUGAGGAUUGUUUGAAUAGCGUGUGCUGAUGAGGACAUUGUAUAUAUAUGUAAUUACUUUUAGCAGAGG